This 465-nucleotide ribosomal RNA is filed under the name Vreelandella stevensii. RNAcentral's name for it is "partial 16S ribosomal RNA". It matches the Rfam family "Bacterial small subunit ribosomal RNA", at positions 338 to 795 of the family's 1533-position model. The record is from RNAcentral. Lineage: Bacteria; Pseudomonadati; Pseudomonadota; Gammaproteobacteria; Oceanospirillales; Halomonadaceae.
CCUACGGGGGGCUGCAGUGCGGAAUAUUGGACAAUGGGGGGAACCCUGAUCCAGCCAUGCCGCGUGUGUGAAGAAGGCCCUCGGGUUGUAAAGCACUUUCAGUGAGGAAGAACGCCUGGUGGUUAAUACCCAUCAGGAAAGACAUCACUCACAGAAGAAGCACCGGCUAACUCCGUGCCAGCAGCCGCGGUAAUACGGAGGGUGCGAGCGUUAAUCGGAAUUACUGGGCGUAAAGCGCGCGUAGGUGGCUUGAUAAGCCGGUUGUGAAAGCCCCGGGCUCAACCUGGGAACGGCAUCCGGAACUGUCAAGCUAGAGUGCAGGAGAGGAAGGUAGAAUUCCCGGUGUAGCGGUGAAAUGCGUAGAGAUCGGGAGGAAUACCAGUGGCGAAGGCGGCCUUCUGGACUGACACUAACACUGAGGUGCGAAAGCGUGGGUAGCAAACAGGAUUAGAUACCCUUGUAGUC